GUGUGUCACACCACUGUCUUCUCUGGGCAGGGGCAUAACGGUAAGGUGUGUGUGUGUGUGUCACACCACUGUCUUCUCUGGACGGGGCAGGGGCAUAAAGGUAAGGUGUGUGUGUGUGUGUGUCACACCACUGUCUUCUCUGGACGGGGCAGGGGCAUAACGGUAAGGUGUGUGUGUGUCACACCACUGUCUUCUCUGGACGGGGCAGGGGCAUAACGGUAAGGUGUGUGUGUGUGUCACACCACUGUCUUCUCUGGACGGGGCAGGGGCAUAAAGGUGUGUGUGUGUGUCACACCACUGUCUUCUCUGGACGGGGCAGGGGCAUAAAGGUAAGGUGUGUGUGUGUGUGUGUGUGUGUCACACCACUGUCUUCUCUGGACGGGGCAGGGGCAUAACGGUAAGGUGUGUGUGUGUCACACCACUGUCUUCUCUGGACGGGGCAGGGGCAUAACGGUAAGGUGUGUGUGUGUCACACCACUGUCUUCUCUGGACGGGGCAGGGGCAUAACGGUAAGGUGUGUGUGUGUGUGUGUGUCACACCACUGUCUUCUCUGGACGGGGCAGGGGCAUAAAGGUGUGUGUGUGUGUCACACCACUGUCUUCUCUGGACGGGGCAGGGGCAUAACGGUAAGGUGUGUGUGUGUGUGUGUCACACCACUGUCUUCUCUGGGCAGGGGCAUAACGGUAAGGUGUGUGUGUGUCACACCACUGUCUUCUCUGGACGGGGCAGGGGCAUAACGGUAAGGUGUGUGUGUGUGUGUGUGUGUCACACCACUGUCUUCUCUGGACGGGGCAGGGGCAUAAAGGUGUGUGUGUGUGUCACACCACUGUCUUCUCUGGACGGGGCAGGGGCAUAACGGUAAGGUGUGUGUGUGUCACACCACUCUCUUCUCUGGGCAGGGGCAUAACGGUAAGGUGUGUGUGUGUCACACCACUGUCUUCUCUGGACGGGGCAGGGGCAUAAAGGUAAGGUGUGUGUGUGUGUCACACCACUGUCUUCUCUGGACGGGGCAGGGGCAUAACGGUAAGGUGUGUGUGUGUCACAACACUGUCUUCUCUGGACGGGGCAGGGGCAUAACGGUAAGGUGUGUGUGUGUCACACCACUGUCUUCUCUGGACGGGGCAGGGGCAUAACGGUAAGGUGUGUGUGUGUGUUACACCACUGUCUUCUCUGGACGGGGCAGGGGCAUAACGGUAAGGUGUGUGUGUGUGUGUGUGUCACACCACUGUCUUCUCUGGACGGGGCAGGGGCAUAAAGGUGUGUGUGUGUGUCACACCACUGUCUUCUCUGGACGGGGCAGGGGCAUAACGGUAAGGUGUGCGUGUGUGUGUCACACCACUGUCUUCUCUGGACGGGGGGCUGACAGAAAGUAUUUGGGGCAAGAUGUGAGAAUUGAUCUACUGUUGUGUAUAUAAACUCUUCCUGACUCUCUCUCUCUCUCUCUCUCUCUCUCUCUCUCUCUGUG
Oncorhynchus kisutch (coho salmon) is the source of this 1465-nucleotide long non-coding RNA. RefSeq lists it as uncharacterized. The transcript has 3 exons. The record is from RefSeq and is a predicted model, not a curated record. Lineage: Eukaryota; Metazoa; Chordata; Actinopteri; Salmoniformes; Salmonidae.